GGAAGSCUGGCGGGCGUGCUAUACAUGCAGUCGACGAGUUCUCGUUGAUGAUCGGUGCUUGCACCGAGAUUCAACAUGGAACGAGUGGCGGACGGGUGAGUAACACGUGGGUAACCKGCCCUUAAGUGGGGGAUAACAUUUGGAAACAGAUGCUAAUACCGCAUARAUCCAAGAACCGCAUGGUUCYUGGCUGAAAGAUGGCGUAAGCUAUCGCUUUUGGAUGGACCCGCGGCGUAUUAGCUAGUUGGUGAGGUAAUGGCUCACCAAGGCGAUGAUACGUAGCCGAACUGAGAGGUUGAUCGGCCACAUUGGGACUGAGACACGGCCCAAACUCCUACGGGAGGCAGCAGUAGGGAAUCUUCCACAAUGGACGCAAGUCUGAUGGAGCAACGCCGCGUGAGUGAAGAAGGCUUUCGGGUCGUAAAACUCUGUUGUUGGAGAAGAAUGGUCGGCAGAGUAACUGUUGUCGGCGUGACGGUAUCCAACCAGAAAGCCACGGCUAAYUACGUGCCAGCAGCCGCGGUAAUACGUAGGUGGCAAGCGUUAUCCGGAUUUAUUGGGCGUAAAGCGAGCGCAGGCGGUUUUUUAAGUCUGAUGUGAAAGCCCUCGGCUUAACCGAGGAAGCGCAUCGGAAACUGGGAAACUUGAGUGCAGAAGAGGACAGUGGAACUCCAUGUGUAGCGGUGAAAUGCGUAGAUAUAUGGAAGAACACCAGUGGCGAAGGCGGCUGUCUGGUCUGUAACUGACGCUGAGGCUCGAAAGCAUGGGUAGCGAACAGGAUUAGAUACCCUGGUAGUCCAUGCCGUAACGAUGAAUGCUAGUGUUGGAGGGUUUCCGCCCUUCAGUGCCGCAGCUAACGCAUUAAGCAUUCGCCUGGGGGAGUACGACCGCAAGUGAACUCAAGGAUGACGGGGCCCGCACAGCCGUGAGCAUGUGCUAAUCGAAGCACGCGAGACUACAGUCUGAMUCUUUGAUCACUGAARAUCAGGUUACCAUUCGGCAAUGACGUGUGCAUGGAUGCGUCAGACUCG
Molecule: ribosomal RNA, 1031 nt
Filed under: Lacticaseibacillus casei
Lineage: Bacteria; Bacillati; Bacillota; Bacilli; Lactobacillales; Lactobacillaceae
Description: bacterial SSU rRNA
Source: RNAcentral